Molecule: ribosomal RNA, 293 nt
Filed under: uncultured bacterium
Lineage: Bacteria
Description: partial 16S ribosomal RNA
Rfam family: Bacterial small subunit ribosomal RNA
Source: RNAcentral
GUGCCAGCAGCCGUGGUAACACGUAGGGCGCAAGCGUUAUCCAGAUUUACUGGGCGUAAAGCGCGUGUAGGCGGCUGGUUAGGUGUGAUGUGAAAUCUUCGGGCUCAACCCGAAAACUGCAUUGCAAACCGGCCUGGGUAGAGUGCAGGAGAGGGAAGCGGAAUUCCAGGUGUAGCGGUGAAAUGCGUAGAUAUCAGGAGGAACACCGGUGGCGAAGGCGGUUCUCUGGGCCUGACCUGACGCUGAGGAGCGAAAGCGUGGGGAGCGAACAGGAUUAGAAACCCGAGUAGUCC